Molecule: ribosomal RNA, 427 nt
Filed under: uncultured bacterium
Lineage: Bacteria
Description: bacterial SSU rRNA
Rfam family: Bacterial small subunit ribosomal RNA
Source: RNAcentral
AACGAACGCUGGCGGCAGGCUUAACACAUGCAAGUCGAACGGGCACCUUCGGGUGUCAGUGGCAGACGGGUGAGUAACGCGUGGGAACGUACCCUUCGGUUCGGAAUAACCCAGGGAAACUUGGGCUAACACCGGAUACGUCCGCAAGGAGAAAGAUUUAUCGCCGAAGGAUCGGCCCGCGUCGGAUUAGCUAGUUGGUGGGGUAAUGGCCCACCAAGGCGACGAUCCGUAGCUGGUCUGAGAGGAUGAUCAGCCACACUGGGACUGAGACACGGCCCAGACUCCUACGGGAGGCAGCAGUGGGGAAUAUUGGACAAUGGGCGAAAGCCUGAUCCAGCCAUGCCGCGUGAGUGAAGAGGCCUUAGGGUUGUAAAGCUCUUUCAGCGGGAAGAUAAUGACGGUACCCGCAGAAGAAGUCCCGGNUAAC